UUUUCUCUUUGGAAAGUCUUUCAAAUC
RNAcentral lists this non-coding RNA (27 nucleotides) under Rattus norvegicus (Norway rat). Lineage: Eukaryota; Metazoa; Chordata; Mammalia; Rodentia; Muridae. The record is from RNAcentral.